Corapipo altera (White-ruffed manakin) is the source of this 552-nucleotide long non-coding RNA. RefSeq lists it as uncharacterized. NCBI's taxonomy places the organism in Eukaryota, Metazoa, Chordata, Aves, Passeriformes, Pipridae. The transcript has 2 exons. The record is from RefSeq and is a predicted model, not a curated record.
UAAGGGAGACGGGGUGGGCGCCAGCGGGAGUCGAGGGUGGAGCGGGGGAGAUCCAGGGAAUGCAGUGGCUUGGGUUAAUGACACCGGUUUCAGGGCUAACGUGCGCCGCUGAGGUGGCGCAAAGAAAGAUUCUUCCUAAGCGGAGCCGUAUGGGGUUGCGGUGAGCUGCCUUCCAACCCCCCAACCUCUGGAGGGCAGCCUCGGGAUUGCAGCUGCCGCCGGUUCCCACCUGCGCCCACAGCCCUGUUUCGCUUUGCUACUGCCUGACUUUUCCUCUCCCACUGGGGUACAACAGGGUCUGCCCCCUCACUGCUCAACCACACCCCCACACCCCCCGCCCCAUGGACACACACACCCCGUUGGGAUGUUGGAAAGUAGAUGCUCUGCUGCGUGAAGCUUUCAACCGUGUUUUUUCAACUCGUGCACGGAUUGCUUUCUGCUAUAUGUGUUGCCUGCAAAUGUGUGCAGGAAUGUGUAUGUUGUCCUCAUUUUCUUAUACUGUUAACAGGAUAAACAUUGCCAUAUAGCAAUAAAGCACUGGUGAAUAAUGUA